GGGGGCGACUGGAUUCGACACGACAGUCCUGAGGGAAGAAGCAGGCCGAGGUCUCCUCGCCUCGUUAAACAGGGGUACAAGACGCCAAGCGUCGACAACGAUCUUGCUCUCGCUGCCUAGACUAGGCUAGCGACGUCGCCCGGGAGUGCGUCCCCGUUCCCGGACCCGACGCCAUCAAGGGGACUCACCCCGCAGCCGACGACGGUAGGCCGCAGGGGAAACCCACCGUCUAGGGACGGGCACGCGUGUCACCGAGCGUCGCCCCGACCGAAACCCAAACGGUGACUGAGCCUGGAGAUGCUUCCCAGGGGUCUGCCGUGGACCGGAGUUCGAUUCUCCGCGCCUCCACCA
Molecule: transfer-messenger RNA, 351 nt
Filed under: Coriobacteriia
Lineage: Bacteria; Bacillati; Actinomycetota
Also listed under: 1 other name
Description: Kmv31 sp014859305 Standard tmRNA
Rfam family: transfer-messenger RNA
About the family: Bacterial tmRNA, also known as 10Sa RNA or SsrA, is named for its dual tRNA and mRNA-like properties. Its role is to liberate the mRNA from a stalled ribosome.
Source: RNAcentral